Molecule: transfer RNA, 68 nt
Filed under: Anolis agassizi
Lineage: Eukaryota; Metazoa; Chordata; Lepidosauria; Squamata; Anolidae
Description: tRNA-Ala
Source: RNAcentral
AAGACUUGUGAAAUAUUACUACACAUCUUCUGAAUGCAACUCAAACACUUUAAUUAAGCUAAAGCCUC